UAGUCCCUGCCUGUUCCGUUAACAGGUGAGAGUGCCACAGCCAACAUUUUUGAAAGGGGAGCUUAUAUUUCUUUCUGCUGAGGUAGAAAGAUGCGGCGCCCACCUUGAAAAAAGCAGACUGUAGGCAACGACCUGUGACGGACUGAUGGCGGGGACUUU
RNAcentral lists this non-coding RNA (159 nucleotides) under Candidatus Omnitrophica bacterium 4484_70.2. Its description in RNAcentral is "6S RNA". It matches the Rfam family "6S / SsrS RNA". Rfam says of the family: E. coli 6S RNA was the first non coding RNA to be sequenced, but its function was unknown until recently. It consists of 184 nucleotides that fold into an extended hairpin structure with a large single-stranded internal bulge. The 6S RNA specifically associates with RNA polymerase holoenzyme containing the sigma70 specificity factor. The record is from RNAcentral. Lineage: Bacteria; Pseudomonadati; Candidatus Omnitrophota.